Molecule: long non-coding RNA, 574 nt
Filed under: Rattus norvegicus (Norway rat)
Lineage: Eukaryota; Metazoa; Chordata; Mammalia; Rodentia; Muridae
Description: long non-coding RNA NONRATT008539
Source: RNAcentral
CUUGAAGCCCAGCAGGCCUUCCGUUCAGUUGGUACCAAGUGGGAUGCUUCAGCAAACAAAGCUACAGGGGCACCUGACAGAAAACAAGAUAUUGGGAAAUUCGUCGAGCUUCCGGGUGCAGAGAUGGGAAAGGUGACAGUCAGAUUCCCCCCAGAGGCUAGUGGGUAAGGAACACUACCUGCUUGUAGCCAGCACACUGCGUGCACAUGCUCUUCAGUUUUCAUUACUUCCUGUCGCUGAGUUCAUCUGGAAGACUACUACGGCCUUAAGGGUGGGAGCAAGUCUAAAAGGCCUGCUUAGUUAUUUACAGCUAAUGUUAAUUUAUAGUUUUAGUUCAUUAAGGCAGUAGAGACAACAUAUAAAUUUCAUUGUAGAUUUUAAAAACAAAUAAAAUAUCCAUAGAAAGUUUUAAAUAUAAAUAAGAAAGUGUCCAUAUAUAGAAAAUCUUGCGUUUUGCUUAUACUUAGAGGUUUUUGCAGCCUUUUUUCAGUAAGGAUUUGUAUUUAUACCUGCUCCUUUAUAGUAGAUGUUACAGUAGCAUUUAGUUUUCUAAAAUAAAGGAAAGGAAAAUUUG